GUUCCCAAAUUAAUACUACCCUGAAAGCCCCUGAUCUCACCUGAUCUUGGAAUCUAAGCAGAGUUGGGCCUGGUCAGUACUUGCAUGAGAGACCACGGGCAUACCAGGUGUUGGAGGUC
Ribosomal RNA from Ovis aries (sheep), 119 nucleotides. The record is from Rfam. NCBI's taxonomy places the organism in Eukaryota, Metazoa, Chordata, Mammalia, Artiodactyla, Bovidae.